GGCCAAGAGCUUUCCUUUCCAGCCCCGCCGCUGAAGGAGUGAGGCUUACCGGGCACCGUUGGCCAUGCGGCGAGGGCGGCGGCGCCGGAGGCCCGAUCGCCGAACCUUCGGAGGUGCAACAGAGAUGAGUUUUGAAGAUAGAAGAUUGUAAUAAAUUUUUUCUAACAGUUCGUUAAUGAGGAUAACUGAAAAACUGGGGAAACAACUGCAACUGCAUGUAAUGAGGUAAUUGCUUGCCAAUUAAAGUUUUAAUCUUCAGCUGUGGGGUUCAAAAAUCCUCCAUUACUUCAAGAGUAUGGCAUUCGACAUUUUGGAAGGAAAUGAAGAGGAAUUAAUCAAGAAGACAUGAAGCAAAUGACCAAAAUUUGUUUUAUUGAUAUCACAAUAAAUUAUAUAGAAAAACA
Molecule: long non-coding RNA, 404 nt
Organism: Condylura cristata (star-nosed mole)
Lineage: Eukaryota; Metazoa; Chordata; Mammalia; Eulipotyphla; Talpidae
Exons: 4
Source: RefSeq, a predicted model, not a curated record